Molecule: ribosomal RNA, 1477 nt
Filed under: Vibrio sp.
Lineage: Bacteria; Pseudomonadati; Pseudomonadota; Gammaproteobacteria; Vibrionales; Vibrionaceae
Description: bacterial SSU rRNA
Rfam family: Bacterial small subunit ribosomal RNA
Source: RNAcentral
CCCAAUGGCGGGCGGGCUAACCAUGCAAGUCGAGCGGAAACGAGUUAUCUGAACCUUCGGGGAACGAUAACGGCGUCGAGCGGCGGACGGGUGAGUAAUGCCUAGGAAAUUGCCCUGAUGUGGGGGAUAACCAUUGGAAACGAUGGCUAAUACCGCAUGAUGCCUACGGGCCAAAGAGGGGGACCUUCGGGCCUCUCGCGUCAGGAUAUGCCUAGGUGGGAUUAGCUAGUUGGUGAGGUAAGGGCUCACCAAGGCGACGAUCCCUAGCUGGUCUGAGAGGAUGAUCAGCCACACUGGAACUGAGACACGGUCCAGACUCCUACGGGAGGCAGCAGUGGGGAAUAUUGCACAAUGGGCGCAAGCCUGAUGCAGCCAUGCCGCGUGUGUGAAGAAGGCCUUCGGGUUGUAAAGCACUUUCAGUCGUGAGGAAGGUGGUGUUGUUAAUAGCGGCAUUGUUUGACGUUAGCGACAGAAGAAGCACCGGCUAACUCCGUGCCAGCAGCCGCGGUAAUACGGAGGGUGCGAGCGUUAAUCGGAAUUACUGGGCGUAAAGCGCAUGCAGGUGGUUUGUUAAGUCAGAUGUGAAAGCCCGGGGCUCAACCUCGGGAAUAGCAUUUGAAACUGGCAGACUAGAGUACUGUAGAGGGGGGUAGAAUUUUCAGGGUGUAGCGGUGAAAUGCGUAGAGAUCCUGAAGGAAUACCCGGUGGCGAAGGCGGCCCCCUGGGACAGAUACUGACACUCAGAUGCGAAAGCGUGGGGGAGCAAAACAGGAUUAGAUACCCUGGUAGUCCACGCCGUAAACGAUGUCUACUUGGAGGUUGUGGCCUUGAGCCGUGGCUUUCGGAGCUAACGCGUUAAGUAGACCGCCUGGGGAGUACGGUCGCAAGAUUAAAACUCAAAUGAAUUGACGGGGGCCCGCACAAGCGGUGGAGCAUGUGGUUUAAUUCGAUGCAACGCGAAGAACCUUACCUACUCUUGACAUCCAGAGAACUUUCCAGAGAUGGAUUGGUGCCUUCGGGAACUCUGAGACAGGUGCUGCAUGGCUGUCGUCAGCUCGUGUUGUGAAAUGUUGGGUUAAGUCCCGCAACGAGCGCAACCCUUAUCCUUGUUUGCCAGCGAGUAAUGUCGGGAACUCCAGGGAGACUGCCGGUGAUAAACCGGAGGAAGGUGGGGACGACGUCAAGUCAUCAUGGCCCUUACGAGUAGGGCUACACACGUGCUACAAUGGCGCAUACAGAGGGCGGCCAACUUGCGAAAGUGAGCGAAUCCCAAAAAGUGCGUCGUAGUCCGGAUUGGAGUCUGCAACUCGACUCCAUGAAGUCGGAAUCGCUAGUAAUCGUGGAUCAGAAUGCCACGGUGAAUACGUUCCCGGGCCUUGUACACACCGCCCGUCACACCAUGGGAGUGGGCUGCAAAAGAAGUAGGUAGUUUAACCUUCGGGGGGACGCCUUACCCAACUUUGUGGUUCAUGGGGGA